GGUUGUAGCUCAGUGGUAGAGUGCUUGCCUCGCACAUGUGAGGCCCUGAAUUCAAUCCUCAGCACCA
This 67-nucleotide transfer RNA is filed under the name Marmota monax (woodchuck). RNAcentral's name for it is "tRNA.Ala". The record is from RNAcentral. Lineage: Eukaryota; Metazoa; Chordata; Mammalia; Rodentia; Sciuridae.